AGAGUUUGAUCAUGGGCUCAGAGCGAACGCUGGCGGCAGGCCUAACACAUGCAAGUCGAGCGGCCGUAGCAAUACGGCAGCGGCAGACGGGAGAGUAACACGUGGGAACGCGCCCUUCGGUUCGGAAUAACUCAGGGAAACUUGGGCUAAUACCGGAUACGCCCUAACGGGGAAAGAUUUAUUGCCGAAGGAACGGCCCGCGUCCGAUUAGCUUGUUGGUGAGGUAACGGCUCACCAAGGCGACGAUCGGUAGCUGGUCUGAGAGGAUGACCAGCCUCACUGGGACUGAGACACGGCCCAGACUCCUACGGGAGGCAGCAGUGGGGAAUAUUGGACAAUGGGCGCAAGCCUGAUCCAGCCAUGCCGCGUGGGUGAUGAAGGCCCUAGGGUUGUAAAGCCCUUUCAGCGGGGAAGAUAAUGACGGUACCCGCAGAAGAAGCCCCGGCUAACUUCGUGCCAGCAGCCGCGGUA
This 471-nucleotide ribosomal RNA is filed under the name uncultured Pseudomonadota bacterium. RNAcentral describes it as "bacterial SSU rRNA". It matches the Rfam family "Bacterial small subunit ribosomal RNA", at positions 8 to 522 of the family's 1533-position model. The record is from RNAcentral. Lineage: Bacteria; Pseudomonadati; Pseudomonadota.